CGACCGGCGCACGGGUGAGUAACACGUAUGCAACCUGGCCGUCAUAGGUGGAUAACCGGAAGAAAUUCCGACUAAUACAGCAUAACACUCCUGAGGGACAUCCCUUGGGAGUCAAAGGAGGCAACUCCGGUGACGGAUGGGCAUGCGGCGCAUUAGGUAGUUGGUAGGGUAACGGCCUACCAAGCCGACGAUGCGUAGGGGUUCUGAGAGGAAGGUCCCCCACAUUGGAACUGAGACACGGUCCAAACUCCUACGGGAGGCAGCAG
Molecule: ribosomal RNA, 266 nt
Filed under: uncultured bacterium
Lineage: Bacteria
Description: partial 16S ribosomal RNA
Rfam family: Bacterial small subunit ribosomal RNA
Source: RNAcentral